ACGAUGGAACAGUAACAUGUUACGUAGACAAAUACCCAAUAAACUUUCUCAUCGACUCUGGAGCCUCGAUAAAUACUGUAACUGAAAGACCGUGGCGUACACUGAAAGAAAAUAAAGCGCAUAUUUAUAAAACCAAAUUUCAAUGCGAUCGACAAUUCAAAGCAUACGCAAGCGAUACCCCAUUACGAGUUUUGAUCGUGUUUGAAACAUGGGUUUCAAUUAACGAGACAAAACCCCGAAGUUAUGCAGAAUUUUUUGUUAUAGAAGGGACGAUCAAAUGUUCCUUAGUAAGAAACUGCAGAGAAACUCAAAGUAUUAAAAGUGGGACUACAAACAGAACAAGCAGUGGAGAAUAAGGAUGAACCUUUUCCGAAAUUUCUAAAUAUUCAGAUUAGGCUGUCGAUAAACAGAAGCAUACUUCCUAAGAAAAUAGAACGAGUCAAGGGCGGACCAGAAUGGAUUUCACCGAUUGUCGUUGUGCCUAAAGGCAAGGCUGAUGUUAGACUUUGUAUUGAUAUGCGAUAUCCAAAUGAAGCUAUUCAUCGCGAGCAUUUCCCACUCCCAGUGAUAGAAACAUUCUUAAACAAGUUAAGAGGAUCUGUAUAUUUCUCAAAGCUGGACAUUGCUUCAGCAUUCCUCCAUAUUGAAUUGCUUCCUGAGUCCCGACCAAUUACUACGUUCAUGACAGCUAAAGGAUUAAUGCAAUUCAAACGAUUUAUGUUUGGGAUCAAUUGCGCGCCGGAAAUUUUUCAGCUCAUUAUGUCCGAAAUGCUAAUUGGAAUUGAAGGGAUCAUCGUGUAUAUUGAUGACAUUGUUGUAGUUGGGAAAAGCCUUUUUGAGCACGAUUCACGACUUGAAGAAGUUUUAGAUGUACUUAAGGAAAACAAUGCGAAGCUGAAUUAUGCUAAAUGUGUAUACCGUGUUAAAGAAUUGGAAAUAUUGGGCUUAGUCAAUGCGUAUGGUAUAAGUCCUUCUGAUGAGAAAAUUGAAUCAAUAAGAAAUUUUCGUCGGCCCACAACUAAAGAAGAAGUACGAAGCUUUCUUGGACUUGUCAAUUUCGUGGGUCAAUUUAUUCCGCGUUUAUCAACACGUAGCGAACCAUUACGUUGAUAUAUCCGAGGAGAUGACAAUGUAUAUGGCGAAGAGCAACACAAGGCAUUCAAAUGGAGUUCAGAAGCUUGGAUUUUAUGACCCGGAAGAUAUCACUGAGUUAUAUGUCGACGCCUCACCAGUAGGCUUAGGUACUGUUCUGGUACAGAAGGAUAAGUGUACCGUACCACUAAUUGUUACUUUUGCUUCUAAGGGCUCAACAUCCGCCGAGAAAGCCUACCCACAAACACAACGUGAGGCGUUAGCUGUAGUCUGGGCGGUGGAAAAGCUUUAUUGAUACCUGUAUGGAAUUCAUUUCACAGUUUUUACCGACCACAAGACAUUAGAGUUCAUUUAUGGUGGGAAGUAUCGCGAUGGUAAACGGGCCUGCUCCCGAGCCGAAUCGUGGCUUACAGCCUAUGAAUUAAAAAUUAAACACAUUCCAGGAGUGUCAAAUAUUUCCGACAUAUUAUCAAGACUUUGUUCAGCAUCUGAAUCAGCGUUUGAUGAGGAAUCAGAGCACUUUCUCUUUGCGGUAGGAGAUAGUCCGUUCGCAAUAACAUUGGAUGAAAUUAUUAAUGAAACCCAUCGUGACGAUAUACUGGCUUCUGUAAUGAAAGCCCUGCAAACGAAUGAGUGGCCUAGCAAUUUAUUUAGAUACCAAGCAUUUCAGAACGAAUUGGGAAUUAUUAAUGGUGUAUUGGUGCGAGAAGAAAGAAUCAUUCUUCCACUGAAUCUAAGAUCUAGAGCAUUAUCAAUCGCACAUCGUGGGCAUUCUGGAGUAGUUUCCAUGCGACGAAUUCUUCGUGAAAAAGUAUGGUGGCUAUGCAUGGAUAAUGACAUAAGCAACACACUCCUCCUGAGCCAAUGAUAAGGAAGAAACUACCAGAACGAACGUGGCCAGAAAUCGCAAUCGCAUUUCUUUUCUGCGAAGGAAUGCGCCACUUUCUUGGUUGUUGUGGAUCAUUUCAGCUGAGUUUUGAAACAAACGUCUCUAAAACUAUAGAUGCUCUAGAGGAUAUAUUUUCUGAGAAAACCUAUCCAGAGACUAUAAGGAGUGAUAACGGUCCCCCGUUUUCAAGUGAAGAAUUUGCUCAAUAUUGUUUGGGAAAAAACAUCAAUUUGAUUCGUACGAUAUCGUAUUGGCCUCAAAUGAACGGGUUAGUCGAGAGACAGAACCAAGGGAUUCUGAGAACAUUACGCAUAGCAAAGGCCACGAACAGUGACUGGCGUAAAGCAUUGAAAGAUUAUGUGUUCAUGUAUAACACCUCCCCGCACUCGGUUACAGAAAAGGCUCCUAUGGGUCAGCCAGUGAAAAAUCUGUUACCAUCUCUUCGAACAGAACCUUGAUUACUUCGUGAUGAUGAGGUAAGGGAAAGAGACGCUAUCAAAAAAAUGCAUGGGAAACUGUAUGCAGAUAAACGCAGGCAUGCUAAAGCUUCAGAUAUUGAGGUCGGAGACACAGUCAUAAUGCGAACCUAUGUGACGGGAAAGCUAGAACCGAAAUUUCGGCUUGAUCGCUUUAAGACCGGUAACGAUACAAUCAUCGCAAACGAUGAAGGUUUGAUAUAUCGACGAUCCGCCAGCCAUCUGCGAAAGUGGCCUUCGCCAGAAUUAACUGAUGUAUGUGAAGAUUUACCCUAAGCACCAGCUAAUGAUCAUUCUUCAGCUUUAGAUCAUCGUAAUCAAACAUUAAAAUACACCACCGAUAUUUCUAAAGAGUUGACACCCGAAACGCAAUCAGAACUUUAAAACAGCUGCACAGGAUCAGUUAUUAAAGCGCCCCAGCAGGACCAGAAUCCGACCACAGCGAUAUAGUCCUUAGCAAUUCCUUAAUUCGGUGUUAUAAAACCGUCAAACUAAUAUGGGCUUGCAAAGUAAUUUUUUCACGGUAGAGAAAGGAUGUAGAGUACGGUACAUUUCGAGUACAAUUACUGACUGACCAGAAGUCAUAAAUAAAAAAGUGAAGGACAGCGCUCCAUUCAUCGCUGUGUGUGAUGGAAUCCCAUCAAAUUUUUACUUUUUUAUUUAUGACUUCUGGUCAGUCAGUAAUUUUUACUUUUUUCGGUUUUUAACUAUAUCAAACUAACUACACUGAUCGCAAUGCGCUGAUGACAUUUAUUUGCCAACUGCACUUAACCGAGAUUGAAUUCUGUAACACAAAAUACACAUAAAAUAUCAAUGUUCAAUUAUAACUAUUUUAUUUGCGAUACACAUUUGUUUAAUAUGUGACUCAAAAAAAUCAAUCAUUAUGUUGUAUCUAAUGUUUCGAAUCUGUUGCACACAUAAAGUUCAUAUUAUAACGUUAUACCUUUUUACCAAUACUAACAAAACAUGAAAAACAUGUGCAGGUCUAUUACUCUUACCACUCUUGCCUACGAACCGAACUGAUGCCAGGUAAUUUUUUCAAAAAUAUGUUCGCCGAAAAAAUCAUUAUAUGCAAAAUAGGUGAUAAAGUCCCAUAAGAAUUUAUUUUUGUCAGCAAUUUAACUUAAAUCCCGCCAAGUACGAACGAGAAUUCAGAAAAUAUCAUAUCAGCAUUGUCGGAGGAAUCGCUGUUUUUUUUUAAAUAGAUGCACCACAUUGAAUCUGUGCACCAGGCAUAUCUGCAAAAAAUAAAUGAUGGCGUCCACAAACGAAAUUUGUGCCGAGCUCAAUUUACCGGUUGAAUUUGCUGAAAUAUUUACAAUUUGUGAGUACACUAAGGAAGCAUUAAAAACUGUUACCAAGCUCCAAAACAAGCUUCCAAAUCCAGUGUCUACAGUAAAUAUUUAGUCGCAACAAGAAGAGGAGUCAUCAUUGAACAGUGUACAACAGAUCGGUAUCGUGACCAGCAUUCACCAUCAAGACACAGACGGUUCAAGUGUAGUCAAGACAUUGCAGAAGAUACCGAACGACUUCAAUUCUACAGAGUACUGUAAUCUACUUCACUCAGGCAGUUCUCCACAAGUGGUCGAUGACACACAAAGUCAUACCGUGUUUCUGCAGAACAUUCAUACACAAGCCAAAACAAAUAUUUUUGACUCUGCAGCCAUUAAUUCUGUUGCUAAAUCGAAUCCAGAAAAUUUGAACGAGCAAAUUUCGAAACAUCUCCAAACAGCACUCAUCUACCAUCAAAAAGAAAGCGGCAGGGCAUAAAGAUUUGUGGAACACACCCAUAAUACUCAAAAAUUUUAUCAGGAAAUUGUCGAGGACUUGACCAUGUUCCGGAAUCAGAGGUAGCAAGUGACACUGUUAUUACAUCUUCUUGGUAGUGUAUAGAAAGAUCCGAUUUGAUUGAAAUAUUUGGACUUAACAAGUUAUGUGAAUUGUUGAAGACCGAUCAACAACUAAUAAGUCGUGCUCAACAAGGACUGUUAUCCGAUAAGAGUCAAGCGGAAUUAGUCUCCAUAAUCUCGGAAUAUCAUAUGAAUUCAAAGGGAAAAAUCACAGAAGAAAUUCUUAAAACCAACACUAAGGCUAUUACAAUGCUAUUCAAAAACGAAAAACCGGAAAUGUGUUUCACGAAAUCACGGUGGAAUAUUAUACAACAGUAUCGUUAACGCAAGGCAAAAACUCGCCAAACGUAAACUGAAGUAAGAGGAACAUCUAGCAAAAUCGAUGUGGUUCAUUCACGACCCUCACCCCUCAGGAGAGGAAGCAUUGAACUGGCUCAAUACUAAACCGUGGGCAACAACUCUUGAGAAGUGGUCUGUAAGUUUUAAUUGUCGUCAGUCCAAACCAAAACCGUUUGAUACUGAGUUCGCCUUGAAACAAUUUCGUCACUACGCAGAAACAUUCGGGUACCAGCUGGAAUUUUUUUUUUAUUUUAAUCCUGUUUUCAUAACAAUAUUUUUCUGAUUUACGGAACGUAGGUGGUUAUAACCGUCAUUACCUUUCAUAUGAAGCAGUAGCGAAGCUAGAAGAAAUACAUAUAAUAGGAAUACAAGGCAUAGAUGGUUUCCCAACAGAUUUACACAAAAUUGAUCACAAAUGUUAUUUUCGUAGAAAACGAGCAUUUUUUUCGUUAGAUUAAA
Malaya genurostris is the source of this 5105-nucleotide long non-coding RNA. RefSeq lists it as uncharacterized. The record is from RefSeq and is a predicted model, not a curated record. The transcript is spliced from 3 exons. NCBI's taxonomy places the organism in Eukaryota, Metazoa, Arthropoda, Insecta, Diptera, Culicidae.